Non-coding RNA from Dipodomys ordii (Ord's kangaroo rat), 65 nucleotides. NCBI's taxonomy places the organism in Eukaryota, Metazoa, Chordata, Mammalia, Rodentia, Heteromyidae. The record is from Rfam.
GGUGGCUCAGUGGUAGAGAGCUUGCCUUGCAUGCAAGAGGCCCUGGGUUCAAUUCCUCAGCACCA